This is a non-coding RNA of Paralichthys olivaceus (Japanese flounder), 298 nucleotides long. Lineage: Eukaryota; Metazoa; Chordata; Actinopteri; Pleuronectiformes; Paralichthyidae. The record is from RefSeq and is a predicted model, not a curated record.
GUCUCUGCAGGAUCUUCAGGACUCAGCUGCUGCUCUGACUCACUGUGACCGGAUGAACUUGUCUCUUCACUCCUUCAUCGGUUCAUCCCUCCACCCCCCCCUUCAGCCAGAGGAUCUGAUGAGAGGUCGGCAGAGAGCGGAGAGAGGAGAACACCUGUCAUGGCCACUGUGGACGGUGUAGGCACUCUGGCUGCGGAGCAGAACCACCUGAGCGUCACCGAUCAUGGAGCCUGGGCCACAGCCAUGAACAACCUGGGCAUCAUGCCUGUGGGCAUCAGUGGACAACCGCUGGUGUCAG